Long non-coding RNA from Drosophila willistoni, 478 nucleotides. RefSeq lists it as uncharacterized. NCBI's taxonomy places the organism in Eukaryota, Metazoa, Arthropoda, Insecta, Diptera, Drosophilidae. The record is from RefSeq and is a predicted model, not a curated record. The transcript is spliced from 4 exons.
GUCUUUCUUUCAGUCGCAUUUUCGAUAGCAGUACGUGCGGGUGCCUGUUUCGUGUGCGGAGUCCGGAAAUUCGCUAACCAAAAAUCUACAUUUAAAAGUUUAAAUUUAAGACAAUUCUAACGCUAAUAAAACGAAAAGGAAUAUAACAACAACAACAAAAACAACCCACUAAAAGUGGCUGCAACUUUCCAUCAUCUUUGUGGCAAUGAAGUGAACAUGGGAAUAGCCUCUGCCUCCGCUCCCGUUGCUCCUUCCUCAGCUGAUGUUGCCUUCGUCGCAGUCGUUUCAUUGCGAGACUUUUUCGCGUUUCGCCUGCGUCGCUAACAAGGUGGAGCUUGGCAAAAUAUUUCAACUAUGAAAGAGCAAAUAUUGAAGUGAAUAUUAUGAAGAAAGUAACUUGAGACAAAGUUUCUUUGCAGUUACUCGACUAACUAUGAGAGAGCAUAAGAAAAACACAAUAAAAAUAUAAGCCAAAUGA